RNAcentral lists this unclassified non-coding RNA (258 nucleotides) under air metagenome. RNAcentral describes it as "partial contains small subunit ribosomal RNA, internal transcribed spacer 1, and 5.8S ribosomal RNA". The stretch from base 1 to 46 matches the Rfam family "Eukaryotic small subunit ribosomal RNA", at positions 1786 to 1831 of the family's 1831-position model. The record is from RNAcentral.
AAGUCGUAACAAGGUUUCCGUAGGUGAACCUGCGGAAGGAUCAUUAGUGAAUAAACUUGGAAGCUUCGGCUUCCGGUCUGAUGGAGCCUCGUCUCCUGAUGAUUUUGUUUUUUACAUCCAUAACACCUGUGAACUGUUGGAGACUUUGGUUGGACUUCGGUUCUUCCAUUGGCUCUGUUACACCAAACAACGUAUUGUAACAAAUGUAAACUUAUUUUAAACAAAAUAAAACUUUUAACAACGGAUCUCUUGGCUCUC